CCUCUUGUGGUGUUGUGGGUAACGCGCCUGUCUGGCGAAUUGGGAGUCGUGAGACCGAGUCUCACCGUGAAGA
RNAcentral lists this transfer RNA (73 nucleotides) under Aedes aegypti (yellow fever mosquito). It matches the Rfam family "tRNA". Rfam says of the family: Transfer RNA (tRNA) molecules are approximately 80 nucleotides in length. Their secondary structure includes four short double-helical elements and three loops (D, anti-codon, and T loops). Further hydrogen bonds mediate the characteristic L-shaped molecular structure. tRNAs have two regions of fundamental functional importance: the anti-codon, which is responsible for specific mRNA codon recognition, and the 3' end, to which the tRNAs corresponding amino acid is attached (by aminoacyl-tRNA synthetases). tRNAs cope with the degeneracy of the genetic code in two manners: having more than one tRNA (with a specific anti-codon) for a particular amino acid; and 'wobble' base-pairing, i.e. permitting non-standard base-pairing at the 3rd anti-codon position. Lineage: Eukaryota; Metazoa; Arthropoda; Insecta; Diptera; Culicidae. The record is from Rfam by way of RNAcentral.